This is a long non-coding RNA of Phyllostomus hastatus (greater spear-nosed bat), 617 nucleotides long. RefSeq lists it as uncharacterized. Lineage: Eukaryota; Metazoa; Chordata; Mammalia; Chiroptera; Phyllostomidae. The transcript has 4 exons. The record is from RefSeq and is a predicted model, not a curated record.
CUGCCUCCCCCUGUUGUUUCUUGGUCUUCUUCCAGAGCCUUCCAAAAGAAAGACUGCAGAGUGGGUUCUGGACAGGCAGCCAGUAGCCCCUACGUGAGCAGCUCCCUGUGCCCAUUUGUACCUGACAGAGUCACACUGGUCUUUACAUUCUUCCCUUAAACUUUUCCAUGGCAGAGCUAUGAAAACUGGACAGUGGACCAGAAGAGGGGAGAUGGCAGCUAAUGAAAAGAGAGCCAGCUUUUAUUCAUUUUUAGAGAGGGGAGAAGGGAGAAAGAGAGUGAGAAAAACAUCGAUGUACGAGAGAAAUUUUGAUCAUUUGUCUCUCGCAUGCCCCCAACAGAAGAUCUGGUCUAAAACAAGUAGGUAAAUGUGGAUCCAUAGAAAUGCUGAGACAUUUUGCUGAGUGGACAUCCUCAUUUUAUUGCCUACUAUGCUUCACCAAUAAGUAUGAUGUGGGUAUUUCUGAUACUUCCCAAAAUGUGAGGUUGUUGAAUUUUAUUAUCUGCCAUUUAAGCAAUAAAUGAGAUAAUUUUGAAUUUCCUUCAUAACAAAUUGUUGUGAUAAAUUAUAUUAACAUAUGUAAUGCUAAUACAUUUUUUCACAUUACUUGGGAUAAA